Aedes albopictus (Asian tiger mosquito) is the source of this 595-nucleotide long non-coding RNA. RefSeq lists it as uncharacterized. The record is from RefSeq and is a predicted model, not a curated record. The transcript has 2 exons. Lineage: Eukaryota; Metazoa; Arthropoda; Insecta; Diptera; Culicidae.
AAAGUCCAAAUAAAGUCGUCCAACUCCCAUACAUUGGUUUAAAAUUUCGGGGUUCAUGAAGUACUAGACCAAAAAACUAUAAUACCUUCGCAUAAUGGUACCUUGCUCUCUACUACAAAUUAAAAAUCUAGUACUCUGCUUAUGUUGCUAUGAGUAACAAACAAAUGUUUCAAAUAUAAACACGAAAAAAAUAGAUUCUGGUAAGUAACGUAUUGAGUAAUCAUUUCGUUCAAAGAAUUAUUAAAUAUUUGAUUUAUUUUAGGAAAAUGAGAUUUUUGAACUUGCAGGGUGGACGAAAGAGUUUCAAACACGUGCGAUGACCAAACAGGAUUUCAGCGGGCGAUUUUCCACCAGGUGCACCGCUGCUACAACUGAGCGCGCCUCGUGAAGCGGGUUCACGUAACUAACCAAAAAUCUCCAAAUUAUAAAAUGGCCUCUGCAAACCCGGCCGGAAGUUUCCCAGAUUUUCACCUGAAUCUGUAUUACCCAAAAACUCCACGGCAUAUGAAAACAAAAAAAUGCGUGUAAAUUUGAACGCAUGAAGCAAUUUUGUGUCAUGUAUUUACUACUAGCAAUUAAAAUCUCUUAGUAUCGA